UACGUAGGGUGCAAGCGUUGUCCGGAAUUAUUGGGCGUAAAGAGCUCGUAGGCGGUGUGUCACGUCGGCCGUGAAAACCUGCAGCUUAACUGUGGGCGUGCGGUCGAUACGGGCAUCACUGGAGUUCGGCAGGGGAGACUGGAAUUCCUGGUGUAGCGGUGAAAUGCGCAGAUAUCAGGAGGAACACCGGUGGCGAAGGCGGGUCUCUGGGCAACAACUGACGCUGAGGAGCGAAAGCGUGGGGAGCGAACAGG
RNAcentral lists this ribosomal RNA (254 nucleotides) under uncultured bacterium. RNAcentral describes it as "partial 16S ribosomal RNA". It matches the Rfam family "Bacterial small subunit ribosomal RNA", at positions 524 to 776 of the family's 1533-position model. The record is from RNAcentral.